AGCCAGGUGACUAGCUCAAUCAAUCAAUGGGAUGCCAGAGAUAAAGCCAGGUCUUUAAGGAAGAAUGGGAGCCUCAUUACUCUUCCACAGAGAGCUCUUCCACUGUCUGCAGGCAGAGAGGUCUGAGGCCUCAGGGGCUGGAGGAAACGUAGAGUGGAAGGAAUGUGGGUCCCUGAAUCACUGCCUUUGGGAAGAGCAUCCGCUGCAGCCAGGGGUGCUGGCACUGGACCCUUACAUAGGAGUAAGCCCAGUGCCCCCUGCCUCUCAGGACUGCUAUCAGGAUGAAAGAAACAGAGAUCCUUCCUUGAGCCAUCGCCCUGUGCAGUGGACUGGAUAUGGGUGUGAGCCGGACCCGGUGUCCUGCUUUUUCAGCCCGGGCCCACUCCUCGGCGGCCAUCCCUUGUCUUCUCCUAUGAAGGACCCCAGCUCCAUGUGCAGCGGCCUCCUGGAGAGGAUUUGCCAAGAACUGGAGCUGGGAGGAGCGUGCCAUGGAGGGUUUCCUCUCAUUCAUCAGGAGUAAGAGCUCUAUGGCAGUCAGACCUCCACAGGCCUGGCUCUGCUCUGACCUGCUGGUUUUGAACCCAGGCUGGUCUGGCUGAAUUCACAGCCUGCACAUCUGUAACUUGUAGGUCAUCACUUCCUUCCGUGUCUACAGCACCGAGAUAUUGCAAGAAUCAAAUCAGAGAAUACGGAUGUGAGAGAACUCAGCAGAUGUUUAUAGCAGGCUUACUAUGUACAUGGCACUGUGUUAAAUGAUGAUGAUUCAAAGAAAACCAACCAACCUAUCUACCAACCAACCAACCAACCAACCAACCAACUAACCAGCUGACUAAACAAGCAAUCACCCAACCUACUAACCAGCCUACAAACCAACUGGAUGAGCAACAGUGGAGACCACGGUUUUCUUGGGGAGACACCCUCACUGGGAA
RNAcentral lists this long non-coding RNA (929 nucleotides) under Equus caballus (horse). RNAcentral describes it as "lncRNA (ENSECAG00000057608.1)". The record is from RNAcentral. Lineage: Eukaryota; Metazoa; Chordata; Mammalia; Perissodactyla; Equidae.